UACGGAGGUCCCAAGCGUUGUUCGGAUUUACUGGGCGUAAAGCGCAUGUAGGCGGGUCGUUAAGUUGGGGGUGAAAGCCCGAGGCUCAACCUCGGAAUUGCCUUCAAAACUGGCGACCUGGAGCAUGAUAGAGGCGAGUGGAAUUCCGAGUGUAGAGGUGAAAUUCGUAGAUAUUCGGAGGAACACCAGUGGCGAAGGCGACUCGCUGGAUCAUUGCUGACGCUGAGAUGCGAAAGCGUGGGGAGCAAACAGG
RNAcentral lists this ribosomal RNA (253 nucleotides) under uncultured bacterium. RNAcentral's name for it is "partial 16S ribosomal RNA". It matches the Rfam family "Bacterial small subunit ribosomal RNA", at positions 524 to 776 of the family's 1533-position model. The record is from RNAcentral.